ACGCACGUGAAACAAUAACGAACGAUAGUAAAAUGACUCGUAGAAACUGCUCUUAAGCUCUAAGAUCAAUCAUUAUCGAGAAACGCAGCCCUGAAAGUUUUUAGUUGA
Molecule: long non-coding RNA, 108 nt
Organism: Sinocyclocheilus grahami
Lineage: Eukaryota; Metazoa; Chordata; Actinopteri; Cypriniformes; Cyprinidae
Exons: 3
Source: RefSeq, a predicted model, not a curated record